AGAGUUUGAUCAUGGCUCAGGGUGAACGCUGGUAACGUGGAUACCGGCAUGCAAGUCGAGCGCCCCGCAAGGGGAGCGGCAAACGGCAUAGUAACACGUGGGUACAUACCCUAAACUGGAGCAUAGCUCGUCGAAAGACGAGGUAAUUCUCCAUAAUCUCGCAAGAGUAAAGUCGCAAGACGGUUUAGGAAUGGCCUGCGGCCUAUCAGAUAGUUGGCGAGGUAAUAGCUCACCAAGUCUAUGACGGGUAGGGGGCGUGAGAGCGCGACCCCCAUGAAUGGCACUGCGACACGGGCCAUACUCCUACGGGAGGCUGCAGUCGAGAAUCUUCCGCAAUGGGCGAAAGCCUGACGGAGCGACGUUACGUGAAUGAUGAAACCCUUCGGGGUGUAAAGUUCUUUUAUGUGGGAGGAAGUUAUUGACAGUACCACAUGAAUAAGGGGAUCCUAAUUCUGUGCCAGCAGCCGCGGUAAU
RNAcentral lists this ribosomal RNA (474 nucleotides) under uncultured bacterium. RNAcentral's name for it is "bacterial SSU rRNA". It matches the Rfam family "Bacterial small subunit ribosomal RNA", at positions 8 to 524 of the family's 1533-position model. The record is from RNAcentral.